RNAcentral lists this transfer RNA (76 nucleotides) under Coturnix coturnix (Common quail). RNAcentral describes it as "tRNA-Asn". It matches the Rfam family "tRNA". Rfam says of the family: Transfer RNA (tRNA) molecules are approximately 80 nucleotides in length. Their secondary structure includes four short double-helical elements and three loops (D, anti-codon, and T loops). Further hydrogen bonds mediate the characteristic L-shaped molecular structure. tRNAs have two regions of fundamental functional importance: the anti-codon, which is responsible for specific mRNA codon recognition, and the 3' end, to which the tRNAs corresponding amino acid is attached (by aminoacyl-tRNA synthetases). tRNAs cope with the degeneracy of the genetic code in two manners: having more than one tRNA (with a specific anti-codon) for a particular amino acid; and 'wobble' base-pairing, i.e. permitting non-standard base-pairing at the 3rd anti-codon position. Lineage: Eukaryota; Metazoa; Chordata; Aves; Galliformes; Phasianidae. The record is from RNAcentral.
UAGACAGAAGCUAAUGGGUUAUGGCGUCUAGCUGUUAACUAGAAUGAUAUGGGAUCGAAGCCCAUCUGUCUAGGGG